GCGUACGUGGCGGAAUUGGUAGACGCGUUAGGUUGAGGGCCUAAUGACUUAUUUUAGUUGUGGAAGUUCGAGUCUUCUCGUACGCA
This 86-nucleotide transfer RNA is filed under the name Flavobacteriaceae bacterium. RNAcentral's name for it is "tRNA-Leu". It matches the Rfam family "tRNA". From Rfam's summary of the family: Transfer RNA (tRNA) molecules are approximately 80 nucleotides in length. Their secondary structure includes four short double-helical elements and three loops (D, anti-codon, and T loops). The record is from RNAcentral. Lineage: Bacteria; Pseudomonadati; Bacteroidota; Flavobacteriia; Flavobacteriales; Flavobacteriaceae.